GCCCGGCUAGCUCAGUCACUAGAGUAUGAGACUCUUAAUCUCAUGGUCAUGGGUUCAAACCCCACAUUGGGUG
RNAcentral lists this transfer RNA (73 nucleotides) under Neotoma lepida (desert woodrat). It matches the Rfam family "tRNA". Rfam says of the family: Transfer RNA (tRNA) molecules are approximately 80 nucleotides in length. Their secondary structure includes four short double-helical elements and three loops (D, anti-codon, and T loops). Further hydrogen bonds mediate the characteristic L-shaped molecular structure. tRNAs have two regions of fundamental functional importance: the anti-codon, which is responsible for specific mRNA codon recognition, and the 3' end, to which the tRNAs corresponding amino acid is attached (by aminoacyl-tRNA synthetases). tRNAs cope with the degeneracy of the genetic code in two manners: having more than one tRNA (with a specific anti-codon) for a particular amino acid; and 'wobble' base-pairing, i.e. permitting non-standard base-pairing at the 3rd anti-codon position. The record is from Rfam by way of RNAcentral. Lineage: Eukaryota; Metazoa; Chordata; Mammalia; Rodentia; Cricetidae.